RNAcentral lists this ribosomal RNA (472 nucleotides) under uncultured bacterium. RNAcentral describes it as "bacterial SSU rRNA". It matches the Rfam family "Bacterial small subunit ribosomal RNA", at positions 355 to 844 of the family's 1533-position model. The record is from RNAcentral.
UGGGGAAUCUUGGACAAUGGGGGCAACCCUGAUCCAGCCAUGCCGCGUGAGUGAUGAAGGCCUUAGGGUCGUAAAGCUCUUUCGCCUGUGAAGAUAAUGACGGUAGCAGGUAAAGAAACCCCGGCUAACUCCGUGCCAGCAGCCGCGGUAAUACGGAGGGGACUAGCGUUGUUCGGAAUUACUGGGCGUAAAGAGUUCGUAGGCGGACUAGCAAGUUAGAGGUGAAAUCCCAGGGCUCAACCUUGGAACUGCCUUUAAAACUGCUAGUCUAGAGACCGGAAGAGGUUAGGGGAAUACCUAGUGUAGAGGUGAAAUUCGUAGAUAUUAGGUGGAACACCAGUGGCGAAGGCGCCUAACUGGUCCGGUACUGACGCUGAGGAACGAAAGCGUGGGGAGCAAACAGGAUUAGAUACCCUGGUAGUCCACGCCGUAAACGAUGAGUGCUAGAUGUUGGGGGCGCAGGCCCUUCGGU